UCGGUGACCAGGAGAGUGGCCGUGUGGAGAAGCAGGGCAGGAAUGUGACCACCCAGCCAGGCGGGGGGCUGCUGGCGUGGAGGCAGCUGCCUGCAGCCUGGCCCAGCUGCGUUUUCUCCUCUUUCACCCUGGUGAGAACUAUUCUUCCUUGGCUUCUGCCUGGGGACCCUAUAGGUGCUGAAAAUGGAAUGCAGCUGGCAGGUAGUCGAGGGACAGUGAAAAUGCGGACCCUCUGCAAAGGCAGUGCCCUGAUAUUGAGGAAAAAAAAAAAAAAAGAGCUUUAUUGCUUCUUGUCAGGCUAUACUAUGUUAUAGGAAGAGUUGGGUUCCCCCAGAGAGAAAGUGCAGAGGGUGCUGGGAGCAGGAUCCUCAGUUUGUAAGAACACACUCACUGCUCUCAGGGAGCCGACAAAAUCUUUAAAAAGGGUAAUUGAAGGUUCGACGUUUGACAUGUAAAAUCAAGUCGCAGCUUGGGUUUUCCAGAAGCAGUCCCUGAGACAAAGAUUUUAGCAUAAACAGUUUAUUUGGGAGGCUAUCCUGGGAAACACCAGAAGGGAAGUAGGAAAUUGAAAUGUCGAAGGAAGCCAAUCAAAUAUGCAUUAUUGAGCAGAUGGCCCCUGUGACCAACUAGGCUCAGUAUCUCUGGGGAACCCCCAGAGAGAGUGUAGAGCAAAUUCCAGAAUUAUGCCAUCCAAGGGGAAAGGGAGCUGAGUCAUUCAUCUCUCAGCUGUUGCAAGCUAUUGGUGGAGGGAUUUUCCCAAGAGGCAUUACCUCCCAGGCUUGUCCCCACUUUGCCUGAGUGGCCUCCAGUGGUCAGACAGAACCCAAAGGAGAAGAGCCGGGGUGCAGAUUGGCAGAAGCUAUUCUGGCCCAUGAGCAGAGCAUCAAGAAUGUGGGCUGCAAAAGACAUUUAGAAAUUUUUACAAGAACUAAUGGACAGACAAGAACCUAAGUCUGAACAUCUAAAAGGCUUGCAAAGAAUCAAGCAAAUUUCUUGAAAGACACCAACACUUAUUAGACCUACCUUCGUCUACCUUCGUGAACUGAAGAUCAAGAAAAAUAUUCCAAGAGGCAUUUGGACAGAAAAGCAUGUUGACCCCACAGGAGCAGAAAUUGAACUGCAUUCAAUAUUUUCCUCUGCAAUGCCUAAUGGCGGGAGAAAUAACAUGGUACCAGAAGAGCUUCAAGGGAAAAAGACUACCCUCUAAGAAACCUGUAUUUAGGAAGUUGUUUAAGUGAAAGGGUAGUGGAAGAAAUGUUCUUAGAUGUGCAACUCACUGUUAUAACCCUCUCAACAAAGCCCUCGAAGACCUGAUUUAACUGGCAGUGAAUGAAUCUAAAUACAGAGCUGUGGGAUGUGAGAGUCACAUCAGUGACCAUUGAAACAAGUACAAAGAAAAUUAAAUCUAGAUGAUUGUUUUAUAUAUAAUUAUAAAACGGAAUAAAAGUGUAAAAUGCAACUCUUGGAAGAGGAUAUUUAUAGUAUAAAAAUGGCCUAAUUAUAAUAAUUUGAGCCUAAUGUUUUGCCAUACAAAAAUAGAAACGAAGGAGAUAGAAUGGUAGGAGAAAACACUUAUUUCCUCAUUGUUCCCAAGAGGGAUAUUAUUUAACUCUUGAUAAAGAUAACUGGAGAUACAAACAGGAUGUAUCCUUUCUAAAUUACU
This is a non-coding RNA of Macaca mulatta (Rhesus monkey), 1663 nucleotides long. NCBI's taxonomy places the organism in Eukaryota, Metazoa, Chordata, Mammalia, Primates, Cercopithecidae. The record is from RefSeq and is a predicted model, not a curated record.